UACAGAGGUGGCAAGCGUUGUUCGGAAUUACUGGGCGUAAAGCGUGCGCAGGCGGUUAUGUAAGACAGUUGUGAAAUCCCCGGGCUCAACCUGGGAAUUGCAUCUGUGACUGCAUAGCUAGAGUACGGUAGAGGGGGAUGGAAUUCCGCGUGUAGCAGUGAAAUGCGUAGAUAUGCGGAGGAACACCGAUGGCGAAGGCAAUCCCCUGGACCUGUACUGACGCUCAUGCACGAAAGCGUGGGGAGCAAACAGG
This 253-nucleotide ribosomal RNA is filed under the name uncultured bacterium. RNAcentral describes it as "partial 16S ribosomal RNA". It matches the Rfam family "Bacterial small subunit ribosomal RNA", at positions 524 to 776 of the family's 1533-position model. The record is from RNAcentral.